AUGGGGUGCAGCAGGCGCGAAAACUUUACAAUGCGGGAAACCGCGAUAAGGGGACACUGAGUGCCAGCAUAUUAUGUUGGCUGUCCACAUGUAUAAAAACCAUGUGUUAGCAAGGGCCGGGCAAGACCGGUGCCAGCCGCCGCGGUAACACCGGCGGCCCGAGUGGUGAUCACUUUUAUUGGGUCUAAAGGGUCCGUAGCCGGUUUGAUCAGUCUUCUGGGAAAUCUGACAGCUCAACUGUUAGGCUUUCAGGGGAUACUGUCAGACUUGGGACCGGGAGAGGUAAGAGGUACUACAGGGGUAGGAGUGAAAUCUUGUAAUCCCUGUGGGACCACCAGUGGCGAAGGCGUCUUACCAGAACGGGUCCGACGGUGAGGGACGAAAGCUGGGGGCACGAACCGGAUUAGAUACCCGGGUAGUCCCAGCCGUAAACGAUGUUCGCUAGGUGUCAGGGACGGUGCGACCGUUUCUGGUGCCGUAGGGAAGCCGUGAAGCGAACCACCUGGGAAGUACGGCCGCAAGGCUGAAACUUAAAGGAAUUGGCGGGGGAGCAC
Molecule: ribosomal RNA, 554 nt
Filed under: uncultured euryarchaeote
Lineage: Archaea; Methanobacteriati; Methanobacteriota
Description: bacterial SSU rRNA
Rfam family: Archaeal small subunit ribosomal RNA
Source: RNAcentral